This 253-nucleotide ribosomal RNA is filed under the name uncultured bacterium. RNAcentral's name for it is "partial 16S ribosomal RNA". It matches the Rfam family "Bacterial small subunit ribosomal RNA", at positions 524 to 776 of the family's 1533-position model. The record is from RNAcentral.
UACGUAGGGUGCGAGCGUUAAUCGGAAUUACUGGGCGUAAAGCGUGCGUAGACGGUAGCGUAAGUCAGAUGUGAAAUCCCCGGGCUCAACCUGGGAACUGCAUUUGUGACUGUAGAGCUGGAGUGCGGCAGAGGGGGAUGGAAUUCCGCGUGUAGCAGUGAAAUGCGUAGAUAUGCGGAGGAACACCGAUGGCGAAGGCAAUCCCCUGGGCCUGCACUGACGCUCAUGCACGAAAGCGUGGGGAGCAAACAGG